Molecule: ribosomal RNA, 254 nt
Filed under: uncultured bacterium
Lineage: Bacteria
Description: partial 16S ribosomal RNA
Rfam family: Bacterial small subunit ribosomal RNA
Source: RNAcentral
UACGGAGGGGGCGAGCGUUAUUCGGAAUUAUUGGGCGUAAAGGGCGCGUAGGCGGCUGUACAAGUCAAAGGUGAAAUCCCUCGGCUCAACUGAGGAACUGCCUUUGAAACUGUACGGCUUGAGGCCGGGAGGGGGUAGCGGAAUUCCCAGUGUAGCGGUGAAAUGCGUAGAUAUCUGGAGGAACACCGGUGGCGAAGGCGGCAUCCUGGACCAAUUCUGACGCUGAGUGAGCGAAAGCCAGGGGAGCAAACGGG